RNA transcript from Cucumis sativus (cucumber), 422 nucleotides. It is a transcript of the gene named dolichyl-diphosphooligosaccharide--protein glycosyltransferase subunit 4A, with no coding region annotated. The transcript has 2 exons. The record is from RefSeq and is a predicted model, not a curated record. NCBI's taxonomy places the organism in Eukaryota, Viridiplantae, Streptophyta, Magnoliopsida, Cucurbitales, Cucurbitaceae.
CAAUCAUCCGCUGCAUAGAAUAGAAUACAAACGAGGUUUUUCCCACUAUCCUCCACUGCAUCUCGAACAAUUUCGUCGUCGCAUCGGAUCUUCUCUUUUCACUUCCUAUUUCUCCCUCAAUUAAUCAGAUCGGAAGAUGAUUGACGAUCAGGAGUUAGGUUUUCUUGCCAAUUUUCUCGGCAUUUUUGUCUUUGCUUUAGUGAUUGCCUACCAUUACGUUACGGCUGAUCCGAAAUAUGAAGGAAACUGAGAUGUGGUUGAAUCAGAUCCCUAGGUCAAUCGGUAAAAUGCAUUACUGUUAGACGUAUACCGUUUUUUUAAUCUGUAUGUUAGGUUUUCCCUUUUCUUCUUUGAGGAUUUUCUAAUCAAUGUAAGCAACCUUUUUACUAUGAAAUCGUAACUUAUUCUCAUGAUUUUUCUCA